ACCGGCGGUUGGAAGGGUGCCGGGCCAGACUGUACUGCGUCACAGUCUUCUUCUUCCAUGACUGGAACGCGUAUUGUUCGAGAACGCCUGAAAUAUAUUUAUUCAAG
This is a non-coding RNA of Brugia malayi, 107 nucleotides long. NCBI's taxonomy places the organism in Eukaryota, Metazoa, Nematoda, Chromadorea, Rhabditida, Onchocercidae. The record is from RefSeq and is a predicted model, not a curated record.